UGGUGAUACAAAUUUUGUUUAUAGUGAAACAAGUUAUGGGUAAUCUCUGAUGUUGCUCCAGUGAUAUUGAGCAUUGUGCAUUGAUGAUUGAAAAUAAAAAUGUAAAUGGGUAAUGUCUUAUACUACCUUGUAGCCUUAUCUACCUUCCCUAAUUCGACACCCUUGUUGUCACAUAGGAAACAUUUGAUUUUUAAUUUACACGCUCCUUUCCUUUCCCCAUAUUCUUUCUCCCUCAAUUCUUCAACCAUCUUGUCCCUAAUCCCAUUCUUUGUCUCACUUGAUUCCAUUCUCUCUUCUCUACUACCUCCGGGUUUAUAUUCUUACAUUCCAAUGACCCAUAACAUUCAAACCAUUCUUGUAAAAACAUGUGAUAUUUUUCUAAACAAUGAAAUUAUGAAUAUGUUAUGUGUCAUGUGUUAGGCUUAAUAUACACAAAUUCAGUUGGUCAGGGACACCAAAUGAAUUAUAAGAAGAAUUGUGUUAC
This 484-nucleotide long non-coding RNA is filed under the name Medicago truncatula (barrel medic). RNAcentral describes it as "lncRNA gene43196". Lineage: Eukaryota; Viridiplantae; Streptophyta; Magnoliopsida; Fabales; Fabaceae. The record is from RNAcentral.